This 207-nucleotide ribosomal RNA is filed under the name uncultured bacterium. RNAcentral describes it as "partial 16S ribosomal RNA". It matches the Rfam family "Bacterial small subunit ribosomal RNA", at positions 568 to 774 of the family's 1533-position model. The record is from RNAcentral.
UGCGUAGGUGGUUAUUUAAGUCCGUUGUGAAAGCCCUGGGCUCAACCUGGGAACUGCAGUGGAUACUGGAUGACUAGAAUGUGGUAGAGGGUAGCGGAAUUCCUGGUGUAGCAGUGAAAUGCGUAGAGAUCAGGAGGAACAUCCAUGGCGAAGGCAGCUACCUGGACCAACAUUGGCACUGAGGCACGAAAGCGUGGGGAGCAAACA